This 543-nucleotide ribosomal RNA is filed under the name Scirtothrips drepanofortis. RNAcentral describes it as "eukaryotic LSU rRNA". It matches the Rfam family "Eukaryotic large subunit ribosomal RNA", at positions 287 to 647 of the family's 3401-position model. Lineage: Eukaryota; Metazoa; Arthropoda; Insecta; Thysanoptera; Thripidae. The record is from RNAcentral.
CCUAAGUGGGUGGUAAACUCCAUCUAAGGCUAAAUACAACCACGAGACCGAUAGCACACAAGUACCGUGAGGGAAAGGUGAAAAGAACUUUGAAGAGAGAGUUCAAGAGUACGUGAAACUGAGGUGGUGUAAACGGACGAGAUCGAAAAGUCCGAAUGGGGAGAUUCAGGCUCAUCCGUGUCGGUGGCCAGUUCGGGUUCAGAUGGUGCGGUCGGCUCGGGCCCCUCGGGGCGCCGGGUUYGCUCCGUAUUCACUCGUCCCGGCGGUAUCUGUCUGGCGCGGUGAGCUGCACUUCUCCCCUAGUAGGACGUCGCGACCCGUUGGGAUGUUCCGAUCUCAUGGCCCGUGGUGGAGCCCAUGCCGGAGCGGCAGGCUUGCUUGCCGUUGCUGUGCGUGGACCCGCGGUGACCUGAUUGGCGCCCGACGGUAUCAAAGCAUUUGGGAAGUGACCGCACAGAGGUUGCGUCCGAUGCCCUCAAUUGGGCUACACUCGGACAGGUCAGUACCCGGUCUGCGGCGCUACUGCUUUCGAUACUCGUCCGA